AAGUCGUAACAAGGUUUCCGUAGGUGAACCUGCGGAAGGAUCAUUAAAUAAUUUGAAUGUGUUCUUUUGAGCAUAUUUCUAAUUUACUGUGAACUGUUUUACUGUUUAGCGUUUUGAGGGAUGCUUAUUGACUAUAGGGAUAGGUCAGUAGGAUGUUAACCUAGCUAAAGUCAGGCUUAGGCCUGGUAUCCCAAUUCAUUUAUUUACCAAAAGAAUUCAGAAUUAAUUAUUGUAACAUAAGCGUAAAAAACUUAUAAAACAACUUUUAACAACGGAUCUCUUGGUUCUC
This 289-nucleotide unclassified non-coding RNA is filed under the name Mucor irregularis. RNAcentral describes it as "partial internal transcribed spacer region". The stretch from base 1 to 46 matches the Rfam family "Eukaryotic small subunit ribosomal RNA", at positions 1786 to 1831 of the family's 1831-position model. RNAcentral also lists the same sequence under 1 other name. The record is from RNAcentral. Lineage: Eukaryota; Fungi; Mucoromycota; Mucoromycetes; Mucorales; Mucoraceae.